CCGCAGCAGGAGAGAGGAGGAGGGGCCGCCGGUUGAAGCCGCCACCUGCCGCGGCGUGGACUGGCUCCAGUUGUCACUUACCCAGCGGGCUCAGC
This 95-nucleotide long non-coding RNA is filed under the name Dasypus novemcinctus (nine-banded armadillo). RNAcentral's name for it is "lncRNA (ENSDNOG00000052281.1)". The record is from RNAcentral. Lineage: Eukaryota; Metazoa; Chordata; Mammalia; Cingulata; Dasypodidae.